This 1110-nucleotide small RNA is filed under the name Pan troglodytes (chimpanzee). RNAcentral's name for it is "processed transcript". Lineage: Eukaryota; Metazoa; Chordata; Mammalia; Primates; Hominidae. The record is from RNAcentral.
GGUCCUGAAGCUCACAACCGUAACAGCCACCAGACAAGCUUCAGUGGCCGGCCCUUCACAUCCAGACUUGCCUGAGAGGACCCACCUCUGAGUGUCCAGUGGUCAGUUGCCCCAGGAUGGGGACCACAGCCAGAGCAGCCUUGGUCUUGACCUAUUUGGCUGUUGCUUCUGCUGCCUCUGAGGGAGGCUUCACGGCUACAGGACAGAGGCAGCUGAGGCCAGAGCACUUUCAAGAAGGUAAGAGUUUGGGGGAGCAGCAUGGGAUUGGGACUCCAGGAGGCACUGUGGGCUCUGAUGUCUCCCCUCUUGCUUCUAGUUGGCUACGCAGCUCCCCCCUCCCCACCCCUAUCCCGAAGCCUCCCCAUGGAUCACCCUGACUCCUCUCAGCAUGGCCCUCCCUUUGAGGGACAGAGUCAAGGUAAGGUCACCACCCCAUGCCCUCCUCAGUGACCCUCCAGGUUUCUAAUCUGGCCUAUAUCCCACUUUUCAGGUGGGAAGGAGGGAAGAGGCCCUCGCCCCCACUCCCAGCCCUGGCUAGGCGAAAGGGUGGGCUGCUCACACAUUCCCCCUUCUAUAGUGCAGCCCCCUCCCUCUCAGGAGGCCACCCCUCUCCAACAGGAAAAGCUGCUACCUGCCCAACUCCCUGCUGAAAAGGAAGUGGGUCCCCCUCUCCCUCAGGAAGCUGUCCCCCUCCAAAAAGAGCUGCCCUCUCUCCAGCACCCCAAUGAACAGAAGGAAGGUAAGCAGCUCCCUCUCUUCUUUACCCACCUUUACCUCAUGGCCUUCCCCCAGAGCAUGGGCUUCGGGGCAGACAAGACGGUGGGCUCUGCCACUCACCAGUUGUAUAACCUUGGGUAAGUUACAUACUUCUCCAAGCCUUUGUUUCUUCAUCUGUAAAAUUGAGGACAUACCUGUUUUAGAAAGUUAUGUGAUUAGAUGUGCAAAAAUAGCAUCUAUUUUCACUUGCUUCUCUGCUGAGUUCUUCUUUGUGCAUGUAAACUAGCCAGGCUUUCUCUGCUAGAGAUGGCCAUCCCAACAUGGCUUUUGCUUACUCCUUCUACCCCAGUAGACCCACCUCUUCCAUAUCAGGAGGAGAUAAUCAUCCAAUCC